GAUGAACGCUGGCGGCGUGCCUAAUACAUGCAAGUCGAGCGAACAGAUGAGGAGCUUGCUCCUCUGACGUUAGCGGCGGACGGGUGAGUAACACGUGGAUAACCUACCUAUAAGACUGGGAUAACUUCGGGAAACCGGAGCUAAUACCGGAUAAUAUAUUGAACCGCAUGGUUCAAUAGUGAAAGACGGUUUUGCUGUCACUUAUAGAUGGAUCCGCGCCGCAUUAGCUAGUUGGUAAGGUAACGGCUUACCAAGGCGACGAUGCGUAACCGACCUGAGAGGGUGAUCGGCCACCCUGGAACUGAGACACGGUCCAGACUCCUACGGGAGGCAGCAGUAGGGAAUCUUCCGCAAUGGGCGAAAGCCUGACGGAGCAACGCCGCGUGAGUGAUGAAGGUCUUCGGAUCGUAAAACUCUGUUAUUAGGGAAGAACAAAUGUGUAAGUAACUAUGCACGUCUUGACGGUACCUAAUCAGAAAGCCACGGCUAACUACGUG
RNAcentral lists this ribosomal RNA (497 nucleotides) under uncultured bacterium. Its description in RNAcentral is "partial 16S ribosomal RNA". It matches the Rfam family "Bacterial small subunit ribosomal RNA", at positions 28 to 507 of the family's 1533-position model. The record is from RNAcentral.